Molecule: long non-coding RNA, 492 nt
Organism: Canis lupus familiaris (dog)
Lineage: Eukaryota; Metazoa; Chordata; Mammalia; Carnivora; Canidae
Exons: 3
Source: RefSeq, a predicted model, not a curated record
CUCUGUGUUCUCAUAUGUCAAUAAGAGCUAAUGUUUCUAUCAGUCACUGCUGUGAGAUCAGAUAAGAAAAUCUAUGUAGAAGAGUUUUAAAAAUAGAACUUUACAACAAUGCUACAAGGCAGGUGUUACUAUCCCCAUUUUAAGGAUGAGGACACUGAGGCAGCAAGAGCAAAAUAACCUCUUAAGGUCACUGACUAGUCCCAUGUGGAGAUAACUUUGGACUUGGAGUCAGAAGAAUGGACUAUUCACCCUGUUCCACCCUUUACUGUUUUGAAUCUCAGGCAAGUCAACCUCAGUAUGGCUUGCUCUACUCAUCUGUAUAAAGAGCUUAAUGUCACCUGCCUUGCCAGUUAGUGGGAGGAUGAGACAAGAUAAUAGAUGGGAAGGCACUUUGCUAAUGGUAGCAUAUCACACAAACAUAAGGUAUUAUUAUCUUAUAACAAUAAGAUCUUGAAAUGUGUGUGGUAAGACUCAGGCUGACAUUCUCUUGAG